Molecule: ribosomal RNA, 492 nt
Filed under: uncultured bacterium
Lineage: Bacteria
Description: partial 16S ribosomal RNA
Rfam family: Bacterial small subunit ribosomal RNA
Source: RNAcentral
AGUGAACGCUGGCGGUAGGCCUAACACAUGCAAGUCGAACGGCAGCACAGUAAGAGCUUGCUCUUACGGGUGGCGAGUGGCGGACGGGUGAGGAAUGCAUCGGAAUCUACUUUUUCGUGGGGGAUAACGUAGGGAAACUUACGCUAAUACCGCAUACGACCUACGGGUGAAAGCAGGGGAUCUUCGGACCUUGCGCGAUCGAAUGAGCCGAUGUCGGAUUAGCUAGUUGGCGGGGUAAAGGCCCACCAAGGCGACGAUCCGUAGCUGGUCUGAGAGGAUGAUCAGCCACACUGGAACUGAGACACGGUCCAGACUCCUACGGGAGGCAGCAGUGGGGAAUAUUGGACAAUGGGCGCAAGCCUGAUCCAGCCAUACCGCGUGGGUGAAGAAGGCCUUCGGGUUGUAAAGCCCUUUUGUUGGGAAAGAAAAGCAGCAGGUUAAUACCCCGCUGUUCUGACGGUACCCAAAGAAUAAGCACCGGCUAACUUCGUG